This 658-nucleotide long non-coding RNA is filed under the name Prunus persica (peach). Its description in RNAcentral is "long non-coding RNA (PPER_LNC007276)". Lineage: Eukaryota; Viridiplantae; Streptophyta; Magnoliopsida; Rosales; Rosaceae. The record is from RNAcentral.
UGGUCAAUUCCUGUAUUUCCCACUGUGUUUUUUUUUUUCCUAUUUCAUGUUCAUUGGUGUUUACUUUUGGCUCCUUUCACUUUAUUGUUUUGUUUUCUCAAUCUUCUCUAAGUGCAGAUAUUUCCUCUAAUUUUGCUAGUGUUUUAUUUUUUUAUUUUGACGUUAAUUUUUGUUUGGCUUUCAAUUAUUAAAAAAUAAAUAAAUAAAUAAAAAUCACACUUUUUCCCACAUGAUGUCGUUUUAUGUUUAUUGUUUGAUGGUGCAGCUAGAGUUCACAUCAUCUUGCACCUCAAACUUACUUGUAGCAUUAUCGCCUUCCUCUACUCCAUAAUUGACGACAAGGAAGCCACAAAAACUGAUUCUCUGAAUUGCAGUGUCAUUUCAAUCUUGUCAUUUGCAGUCUUGGAGGAAAGGAAAUUCAAAAAGACAAUUGUUCUUAUAUAUUUGGAAACGUGAAUGACAAAAUGUCAAGAUGAAAAGGAUACAAAGAGGUAAGAAUCUUGUGUUAUGUGUUUCCAUGAUUGAACCUAAAAUGUAUAUGUUAUUCUUGUAAAUGAUGACUGGACCUUGGUUAUGCAAGAAGAGACAUUUGCACCCGUUGCAUAUUUGGAAUCAGUGAGGCUACUGCUUGUUGUUGGUUGUCAUACCAAAUGGACGU